RNAcentral lists this ribosomal RNA (274 nucleotides) under uncultured bacterium. RNAcentral describes it as "partial 16S ribosomal RNA". It matches the Rfam family "Bacterial small subunit ribosomal RNA", at positions 524 to 794 of the family's 1533-position model. The record is from RNAcentral.
UACGUAGGGUGCAAGCGUUAAUCGGAAUUACUGGGCGUAAAGGGCGCGUAGGCGGCCUUCUAAGUCGGACGUGAAAGCCCCAGGCUUAACCUAGGGAACGUGCGUCCGAUACUGGGAGGCUUGGAUUCGGGAGAGGGAGUGUGGAAUUCCAGGUGUAGCGGUGAAAUGCGUAGAUAUCUGGAGGAACACCGGUGGCGAAGGCGGCAUCCUGGACCGAGAUCGACGCUGAGGCGCGAAAGCUAGGGGAGCAAACGGGAUUAGAUACCCUUGUAGU